This 1404-nucleotide ribosomal RNA is filed under the name uncultured bacterium. RNAcentral describes it as "16S ribosomal RNA". It matches the Rfam family "Bacterial small subunit ribosomal RNA". The record is from RNAcentral.
AGAGUUUGAUCCUGGCUCAGGAUGCUUUCUAGCGGCAGGCUUAACACAUGCAAGUCGAGGGGCAGCGGGGAGGAAGCUUGCUUUCUCCGCCGGCGACCGGCGCACGGGUGAGUAACACGUAUGCAACCUGCCCCUGUCAGGGGGACAACCCGCCGAAAGGCGGGCUAAACCCGCGUACAUGCCACCGGGGCAUCCCGGAGGCAGGAAAGGCUUCGGCCGGACAGGGAUGGCAUGCGGCGCAUUAGGCAGUAGGCGGGGUAACGGCCCACCUAACCGACGAUGCGUAGGGGUUCUGAGAGGAAGGUCCCCCUCACUGGUACUGAGACACGGACCAGACUCCUACGGGAGGCAGCAGUGAGGAAUAUUGGUCAAUGGUCGGGAGACUGAACCAGCCAAGCCGCGUGAGGGAGGAAGGUACAGAGUAUCGUAAACCUCUUUUGUCAGGGAACAAAGGCGGGGACGUGUCCCCGGAUGAGUGUACCUGAAGAAAAAGCAUCGGCUAACUCCGUGCCAGCAGCCGCGGUAAUACGGAGGAUGCGAGCGUUAUCCGGAUUUAUUGGGUUUAAAGGGUGCGCAGGCGGUCUGUUAAGUCAGCGUGCAAACCCCGGGGGCUCAACCCCGGCCCCGCGGUGAAAACUGGCAGUUUCGAGUUGGAGAGAAAGUAUGCGGAAUGCGCGGUGUAGCGGUGAAAUGCAUAGAUAUCGCGCAGAACUCGGAUUGGGAAGGCAGCAUGCCGGCUCCACACUGACGCUGAGGCACGAAAGCGUGGGUAUCGAACAGGAUUAGAUACCCUGGUAGUCCACGCAGUAAACGAUGAAUGCUGGCUGUCCGGGGGGAUUGACCCCUGGGUGGCGAAGCGAAAGCGAUAAGCAUUCCACCUGGGGAGUACGCCGGCAACGGUGAAACUCAAAGGAAUUGACGGGGGCCCGCACAAGCGGAGGAACAUGUGGUUUAAUUCGAUGAUACGCGAGGAACCUUACCCGGGCUCAAACGGGGAGUGACUCAGGCAGAGACGCCUGUUUCCCACGGGACACUCCCCGAGGUGCUGCAUGGUUGUCGUCAGCUCGUGCCGUGAGGUGUCGGCUUAAGUGCCAUAACGAGCGCAACCCCCGCGUGCAGUUGCUAACAGAUAACGCUGAGGACUCUGCACGGACUGCCGGCGCAAGCCGCGAGGAAGGCGGGGAUGACGUCAAAUCAGCACGGCCCUUACGUCCGGGGCGACACACGUGUUACAAUGGGUGGUACAGCGGGAAGCCAGGCGGCGACGCCGAGCGGAACCCGAAAUCCACUCUCAGUUCGGAUCGGAGUCUGCAACCCGACUCCGUGAAGCUGGAUUCGCUAGUAAUCGCGCAUCAGCCAUGGCGCGGUGAAUACGUUCCCGGGCCUUGCACACACAGCCCGUCA